This 253-nucleotide ribosomal RNA is filed under the name uncultured bacterium. Its description in RNAcentral is "partial 16S ribosomal RNA". It matches the Rfam family "Bacterial small subunit ribosomal RNA", at positions 524 to 776 of the family's 1533-position model. The record is from RNAcentral.
UACGGAGGGGGCUAGCGUUGUUCGGAAUUACUGGGCGUAAAGCGUGCAUAGGUGGUUUGUUAAGUCUGAUGUGAAAGCCCUGGGCUCAACCUGGGAAUUGCAUUGGAUACUGGCAGGCUAGAGUGCGGUAGAGGGUAGUGGAAUUCCCGGUGUAGCAGUGAAAUGCGUAGAGAUCGGGAGGAACACCAGUGGCGAAGGCGACUACCUGGACCAGCACUGACACUGAGGCACGAAAGCGUGGGGAGCAAACAGG